AAGCUAGUAAUCAUACUCUAAAACAAAAGAGGUGUAUUUAUAUUAAUUACACAUUAUUAUACCGAUGAUUUCCUUUCAACUCACUCGGACACUACGAACGAGAAUUAUGGGAUUUAUAAAAUGGGAUUUAGACUUCUAAGUAGAACAGCAUCUGGCGAGUAUUAUAGGUUUCGAAUAAAUAAGAAUGCUGUGAUGCAAGAGAUGACUAGCUCCGCUAAUAAUGGUUACUUUAACAUGAGACAAAGUGAUAAUAACGAACAAUAUAACGGUUAUUGGUAAGGUAUUACGUACAAGUAAGGUAAGUACAACAUUGUUAAAAGGAAGAUAUUGCAUUAGAGAAUUAUGUCCAAUUGUGUUAUUAUAUGAUAAUUAAGGAUAAAUAUAGAUAAAUAAAAAUGGGUGGUAGGAUAUUUUGAAACAGCCCGGAGAGGGACUACGGCUUAUAAGAUGUGAAAUUAAAAAUAGCUCAUAUAAAUGUGUUGCUUAUUGUGAUCAGAAUUCAGUACUAGAGCGUAUUCAGUAUCGAAUAGGCGAUUUGUCAUAAUUGGCAAGAGAUAACAAUAUUAAACAGGAUGUGUAAGAAUGGCUCUGAAAUUAGUGUAUCCGGAAUCAAAGAUAAACUGGACAAAAUGAUUUGGUAUUGGUAUUUGAUAAGGAUUUUUUUGAAAGUAAUAAUUGUAUUUACGUCGACGCUGUCCAAUGAUAGCGAUCAAUAAUUUAUAGUACGUAGAUACUAUGCCAAAAUUGCUGUGAUUAGAUUAGUUAUGAUUACGAAAGUUGUUUACGAUUUAAACAUAGUUUUUGUUUAAUUAAAAUUUGGUUGAUCUUCACUAGAUAUGUACAGUCAGCCUCAAAUGAAAGUAUACGCGGAUGAAGACCAACUUGUUUCCCCAGUUUGUUUUUAACCGCCUUGGAUAUAAAAUUAUAGCAUCCGGUCAAAAUAAUGCCCAAACCAACCAAUUACACGCUGUGCCGUUGCGCCGAGCCCAGGUUUCGCCAACACCGCGCACGCGCAAGACGAAAUGGCGGGAAUCUCCGGCGACGUCAUGCACGCGCCAUUACUCACCCGGCACAUUACCGCUAAGUUAUUGCGUUUUAAGCUUUGUUAUUAUUUCCUCCAAUAGAAGUUAUUGUGAAACGCUUUAUUUUUGUAAAUAAUAAUAAUAUUUAUAAGCAUACAAAAAUAUAUGGGCGAUUUGUUCACUUAUUUAUAUAGGUGACUCUACAUAUAGAUAAUUACAGGUAUAGUAUGUAUGAUAUAUAAAUUGCACACUCAACGGAUAAGAUAACUAACUAAGUAUAUACAAGUGGAAACCCCCCUAUCAGCAUGAGCCCUUGAUAGAAUCGUCAUUAAACGUGAUAAUGAUGACUCGAAAAAGAUAAAUAUUUACAAUAUAGGUUGGUAUAUUUUGUAGUAUUUUUCCGGAUGUAGACGUAUGGAUUUUUUGUAAUGUAACGAAAUAUUACGUUUUGUGGACAAAAUAUAUUUUAUCAACAUCUCACCGUA
Long non-coding RNA from Manduca sexta (tobacco hornworm), 1507 nucleotides. RefSeq lists it as uncharacterized. NCBI's taxonomy places the organism in Eukaryota, Metazoa, Arthropoda, Insecta, Lepidoptera, Sphingidae. The record is from RefSeq and is a predicted model, not a curated record. The transcript is spliced from 2 exons.